GCUGGAACUCAGAGGUCCUUUUUAGGUAUUGUAUUAGGAUCUGCAUGUGGACCCAACUCUUCCUCCUGGAUGCUCUAGGGACUGAAAAAUACUGUCUUCUGGAUGCUUUGGGUAGUGCAUGUGAUUCUAGAGCCCUCUUAUGUGUGCUUAGGGUAUUGCAGGGGGGAAUCUGUCACCAUCAUCUUCAUGCUGACAGUGCUGAAUGGGAAGGCAAUUCACUCUUCUAAAUGCAUGGGACUCUAUCGUACUCUUUUGGGUACUUCAGGAAGAUGGAAAGCGGGAUCUAUCAUCUCCUUUUGGAUACUUUGGAUAUUGUAAAGGAUUCUAUCAUGGACUUCUGGGUCUUGCAGUACUACAUGGGGAUGUUCAUGAGGAUCUGUCACCCUCUUCUGCAUGCUGUGACUUUGAGUUCCCGUCGAGACUUCCUUCAAUAAUGAACAGUGAUAUGGGAAUCUGGUGUCACAGGAGUGGUUUCAAUCCCAUGCUCGGACUCUCCCACCCUGAGCAGAGCCGCUCCUUGGGUCAGGAAGAUCUGCAUGGACAUCGCAGUACAGCUUCAUUCCCAAUUGCAGUCACCCGCCCACCCACCCAGAAUCUCUCACAGCCCUCAAAGCCUCUGCCACCUAAGGAGACCAGCAGUGAAACCUAGCUUCACUGCCGCUGCAACUGAGAUGGCACAGGCUCAAUUGCAUGCCCUUACAAGUGCAAAACUGGCCCCGCCCCCGCCCCCGCCCCCGCCUCGCCCCAGCUCACAGCGUUUGGCCUCCCCCUCCCUGCUCCAGCUCUCUGCCCCUCCCUGGGCCGCUUAGCCCUGCUGGGCUGCAGGUCCCUCAGCCACUGCCUCCACCGCCCCUGCCCAGGGCCCGAAGAGCAGGCAGUGGCUCUGUACUGGAUACUGCCACUGGAGGCUGCAACGCCCGGAGCCGGCUACUGCCCUGCUGGUUUACAAAACCGUUUCUUUUAAUGAAAUCCCGCCCAUUUUAACCUUGUAUAGUAGCCACUUUGAGAAGUUUCAGAUUACAUCGCAAUGUAU
RNAcentral lists this long non-coding RNA (1033 nucleotides) under Cricetulus griseus (Chinese hamster). Its description in RNAcentral is "lncRNA (ENSCGRG00015038545.1)". The record is from RNAcentral. Lineage: Eukaryota; Metazoa; Chordata; Mammalia; Rodentia; Cricetidae.